CAUGCUUUUACAGUAUGAAAAUUGGUGAUUUAUAAUAACUUAGCAAAUCGCAAAGUGAAAACAGGCGAUAAAUCAUUCAAGUUUCUGACCUAUCAGCUUUCGACGGUAUGGUAUUGGCUUACCGUGGCAGUGACGGUUAACGGGGGAUUAGGGUUCGAUUCCGGAGAGGGAGCCUGAGAAACGGCUACCACAUCUAAGGAAGGCAGCAGGCGCGCAAAUUACCCAAUUCUAACAGUUUGAGAGAGGUAGUAACAAGAAAUAACAAUACAAGGCAGUUAAAAUGCUUUGUAAUUGGAAUGAUAGAAAUUUAAACCCUUUUUAAAGUAUCAAUUGGAGGGCAAGUCUGGUGCCAGCAGCCGCGGUAAUUCCAGCUCCAAUAGCGUAUAUUAAAAUUGUUGCAGUUAAAAAGCUCGUAGUUGAAGUUCUGCUGAAAGUAACCGGUCUGCUUUUAAUAAAAGUGGUAUCUUGGUAUGUAUUUAGCAAUGAUGUCCUUUGAAGUGUUUUUUACUUUAUUGUAAUAAAGCAUAUUCAGGACUUUUACUUUGAGAAAAUUAGAGUGUUUCUAGCAGGCUGACGCUUUGAAUACUGCAGCAUGGAAU
RNAcentral lists this ribosomal RNA (599 nucleotides) under Hepatozoon canis. RNAcentral describes it as "SSU rRNA". It matches the Rfam family "Eukaryotic small subunit ribosomal RNA", at positions 223 to 815 of the family's 1831-position model. The record is from RNAcentral. Lineage: Eukaryota; Apicomplexa; Hepatozoidae.